AUUGAACGCUGGCGGCAGGCCUAACACAUGCAAGUCGAACGAGUGGCGGACGGGUGAGUAAUGUCUGGGAAACUGCCCGAUGGAGGGGGAGAACUACUGGAAACGGUAGCUAAUACCACGUACCAUCUGAUGUGAACAGAUGGGAUGAGCUUGUGGGUGAGGUAACGGCGCACAUAGGCGACGAUCCCUAGCUGGUCUGAGAGGAUGACCAGCCACAUUGGAACUGAGACACGGUCCAGCCUCCUACGGGAGGAAGCAGUGGGGAAUAUUGCACAAUGGGCGCAAGCCUGAUGCAGCCAUGCCGGGUGUAUGAAGAAGGCCUUCGGGUUGUAAAGUACUUUCAGCGGGGAGGCGUUACCCGCAGAAGAAGCACCGGCUAACUCCGUGCCAGCAGCCGCGGUAAUAC
RNAcentral lists this ribosomal RNA (406 nucleotides) under uncultured bacterium. RNAcentral's name for it is "partial 16S ribosomal RNA". It matches the Rfam family "Bacterial small subunit ribosomal RNA", at positions 30 to 526 of the family's 1533-position model. The record is from RNAcentral.